RNAcentral lists this unclassified non-coding RNA (951 nucleotides) under Hevea brasiliensis (rubber tree). Lineage: Eukaryota; Viridiplantae; Streptophyta; Magnoliopsida; Malpighiales; Euphorbiaceae. The record is from RNAcentral.
UAAAGAACGCCCUCCAAAUCUUAUUCAAAAACAACUAUGCAAAUUUCAUCUCACAGAAAUUUAUCUCAGGAAGUGCAGGCUCUUGAAGUUGAUCCAGGCAGGCAAGCAUGGAUGUCAUCACAACCACACAACAACUUCCCAUUCAGAGUGUCCACUGCUUGGAAUGAUCCUCCUCCUUCACUUCUCUUGUAAUAAUCAACAGCAACAAAAUUAGCCCAUCUUUUGCCAGAAGCACCAUAACAAGUGUGAAGCAUAUUUAUGAGAUCCCCGGAGUUAUCUUGACAUGUGAGUUCCUUCAUGGGAAUAGACCCGAAGUAAUUUACUAACACCAAGGAUUUGCUCUUGUCAUCAAGGGAACUUGAUUCUCCUCUAUUUGAACAACUUCCUGCCUUCAUUCCAUCUUCCCCAUAGUGAUUUUCAACCAUGUAAUUCCAUUGGUAAGCAAUUCCUUCACUUUCUUCCUUGGAUUUAAUUGAAGUGAACACAAGGAGCCUCUGGUUAUUUUUAACCAUGUCACUGACUAGAGGCCAAUCUUGGCCAUUUUUAGGCAUGCUUGUGACUGGAAACCAGUAUUUCAUCAACCCAGCAUCGGUGAACACUUUUGUCAGUCCAUUAGGGGCUUGAACAUAGUCUUCUAAGAUUAUUGUCACAAUUUCUGAUGGAUUUGCUGAUAAGAAAGCUUCAAUUUCCUUUAGUGUGUCAAUAGCAGGACCAAAUGCAGUGUAGUCAUAACAUUGCCCUUUAAAUGAAUGGCACAACCAUACAUCAUCACGAAAAUCAUACGUAUCAAGCAUCAAGGCUCGAGCUCCAUUAUUUAGCUGCUGAGUGACACUGUCUUCUUGAUUGGUGAAAGUGACUCUAGGAACUCCAGUGUGAGAUGGAUAUCCAUCAAUUGCAUAGGCAUUGUGGGUUGUCAAAAAUGCAUAUUUGUUGAAUGGCAGAGAAUUAUUC